RNAcentral lists this ribosomal RNA (700 nucleotides) under uncultured bacterium. RNAcentral's name for it is "bacterial SSU rRNA". It matches the Rfam family "Bacterial small subunit ribosomal RNA", at positions 61 to 779 of the family's 1533-position model. The record is from RNAcentral.
GUCGAGCGAGUGGAGUUCUUCGGAAAAAGCUAGCGGCGGACGGGUGAGUAACACGUGGGCAACCUGCCUCAUAGAGGGGAAUAGCCUCCCGAAAGGGAGAUUAAUACCGCAUAAGAUUGUAGCUUCGCAUGAAGUAGCAAUUAAAGGAGCAAUCCGCUAUGAGAUGGGCCCGCGGCGCAUUAGCUAGUUGGUGAGGUAACGGCUCACCAAGGCGACGAUGCGUAGCCGACCUGAGAGGGUGAUCGGCCACAUUGGGACUGAGACACGGCCCAGACUCCUACGGGAGGCAGCAGUGGGGAAUAUUGCACAAUGGGGGAAACCCUGAUGCAGCAACGCCGCGUGAGUGAUGACGGCCUUCGGGUUGUAAAGCUCUGUCUUCAGGGACGAUAAUGACGGUACCCGAGGAGGAAGCCACGGCUAACUACGUGCCAGCAGCCGCGGUAAUACGUAGGUGGCGAGCGUUGUCCGGAUUUACUGGGCGUAAAGGGAGCGUAGGCGGACUUUUAAGUGAGAUGUGAAAUACCCGGGCUCAACUUGGGUACUGCAUUUCAAACUGGAAGUCUAGAGUGCAGGAGGGGAGAAUGGAAUUCCUAGUGUAGCGGUGAAAUGCGUAGAGAUUAGGAAGAACACCAGUGGCGAAGGCGAUUCUCUGGACUGUAACUGACGCUGAGGCUCGAAAGCGUGGGGAGCAAACAGGAUU